Molecule: long non-coding RNA, 1878 nt
Organism: Prinia subflava (tawny-flanked prinia)
Lineage: Eukaryota; Metazoa; Chordata; Aves; Passeriformes; Cisticolidae
Exons: 5
Source: RefSeq, a predicted model, not a curated record
UUCCCUCUGCUCAGUUUGCUUUAGUUAGUUCUCCUUGAUGGAUGCCUUCCUUUGUAAGGGGUUUCAUCCCAAUCCUUUCAGGAACUUGCUGGUAAUGGUGCUUCAGGUGUCAAGUGCCCAUUGAUGUCUGUGUUUUCAAGCUAGGUAAGUAUUUUUAAUCCAUUUGAUGUGUACUUUAGUCAUGCUGUAUUCUCAGGGGCUAGUUUAGAGAUCUUAAACUAAGAAAUUUAUGCUAUUGCCCUAACUUAGAAUCAACUGGAACAAAAAAUCAGGCUUGUUAAACAAGAGCUAAUCUACAGCAAAUAUUCUUUCCUGACAAUUGUUAUGUUCCUGGCUUUGUUUUGUGUGGCUUGCAUGUUAUGCUAAUAAUUUCAUUUACCUGCAUCUAUGAAAUGUGGGUGUAGUGAUACAAUUUGCAGUCUUUGGGAAUGUGCAAAUUUAGCUUUGAGCCAGGAGUUAGUCUCACUUGAAAUUAAUUUUAUCACCUCAGGGAAAACCCAACAACCUUGAAUUUUGGGACAGUGAGGUUUUUCACGAAUUUUCAUCCAGAUGAAAAAACAGAAAACAGAUGUACAAAACUGUUUUUAUAUAAAAAAAGCCACCCCUCUUUUUUUUAAUUUUUUUUUUUUUUCUGUGUGGCCAUUGCUGGGUUAUUAUGCUUUUAGUGAAGCAAAUAAUUUCACUUCCCCUAUAUGGACAGGACAGCAUGGUUCUGGCUUAAGGAAAUGGGAAAGGACAGAGUGUUCAGCAGUGCUCUCCUAGAGGCUGGCAGGGCUGGCAGCAGCCUGGGAAAUACACUUGGAACCUUGGAAACAGCAGGUUUAGUGGGACAACUUCCAGAAGAAAGGUAUCAGCUUUGAGAACACAUCAGGAGCUGUCAGCACUGCCCAGAGCCAUAAAUAUUUAAUUUAUCUUGACCCUUUUGAUGUUGCCAAUCAAUGCUGUUCUCUUGUGCUGCAGAUCUGGGACUAUUGAGCUGACAGUGAUUCCAGUCAGUUUGUCAAGUGGAACGACAUUCUCUCUCCAGAUUCUGUUCUUUGUGGCCAUGGGAUUCUGUCAGGAGCCUCUGCACACAGUGCACAGCCCGUGUGAAAUUUAUAGCUGCAGUCCUGCUCAGAAGUAGAACAGACCGGCACAAUUAGGACUGUUUAAACCUGCUCUGGACUGAAAACCCAAAAGAGCACUGGGAGCUCACACCUGUGGCCCAUCGGGACCUGGACCUCGGUGUUUUCCAGUGCCACAGAGACUGAUGAGAGACUGGGAGAGCUGAUCUGCAACCCACGGCAGGGACACUCAAUUUUGCCAUCUCUCUUCAGAAGGAAGAAAAUGUUCUCUUCACAUCUAAGGUCCUAAAUGAGGAUUAAGUGUCCCUUGGGACAAGAGCUGCAGGACUCAGAAGGUACAGAAUGUCCUGUCCCAAAAAAGGUCUGCAGACAGUUCUCUUCUCCAUCCUGCUGUGGCAGAGAGGGGGAGCUGAAAGAGGGGAGCAAGAGAGGAGCAUGGUUCAGAUUCUUGGUGGAGGCACUGAACUGGUGGAUGAUGUACUUCACCUUUUUGCAGAGAUCAAAGUUCUAACAUCUGAAAAGAUGAAACCUGUCAACUCCACUGAUGUUACAGCCUGAGUGGGAAGGCCUGUGUUGCCUUUCACUAUCUCAAAAUUUGCCCAUAUCUCUGCUCUUCCAGAGUUGUUGUUUCAGAAAUUACUCCACCAAGUUGUUGUAUUUUUGUGGGGUUUGUGUACCUGACUCACCUAUACUGCUUUGAAUAUUCCAGUCCUUAGGAAUCCAGAGUUGCUUUAUGGUGCAAAAAGCACAUUAGGUUUUCCUUUAUUUUUCCCUUAUAUUCCAUAUGAAUAGUUUUGCUGGGGAAAAAAAAAAA